AAAUUGGAAAAGUAAAAUACUUUAUUCACAGAUGACAUGAUUAUCUACAUAGAAAAUGCUAAAGAAUCUAGAAAAAAGCUACUAGAAUAAGUUAACUGAUCUAAGUUGCUUGAUACAAGAUCAAUGUACAAGUCUAAUGCAUUUCUAUAUACUAGCAAUAACUAGAAAACAGCUUUUUGAAAACCUUACCACUUGCAAUAGCAUGCAGAAAUAUUAAAUACAUGAAUUUAACAAAAUGUGAGAGCUGCAAACUGAGAGAAAUUAACAGAUCUAAAUAAAUGGGGCAGUACACCAUGUUCAACAAUUGGAAAACUCAGAAUUGUUAAAAUGUCAUUUCUCCCUAAAUUGAUCUAUAAAUCCCAGAAGACUUUCUUUUUGCAGACAUUGAUAAAAGUUGUUUUUUGAGACAGUUUCACUCUUGGUUGCCCAGGCUAGAGUGCAAUGCCACGAUCUCAGCUCACUGAAACCUCCACCUCCCAGGUUCAAGCAAUUCUCCUGCCUCAGCCUCCCGAGUAGCUGGGAUUCUACAGGCGCCUGCCACCACGCCUGGCUAAUUUUUUUGUAUUUUUAGUAGAGAUGGGGUUUCACCAUCUUGGCCAGGCUGGUUUUGAACUCCUGACCUCAAGUGAUCCGCCUGCCUCGGCCUCCCAAAGUGCUGGGAUUAUACAGGCAUGAGCCACGGGCCUGGCCUGAAGUUGAUAGAAGUUGACUUCAAAUUUUAUACGAAAAUGCAAAGGAUCUAGAAGUCAAAAAAAAAAAAAUGGGAAAAGAACAAAACGGAAGCCCUUCCAAUACCUGAGUUCAACUACAGUUGGCCAGGAGUGGUGGCUUAAUAAAAAAUAUUCAAAAGACACCAUUAAGAAAAUGAACAGGCAAACCAAACAUGAAAAUAUUCACAAUAUUUGUCACAAAUGGAGACAAAGAAUUCUAUAUAUUACAUGUAUGUUUUUCAUGCAGAAUAUGGAAAGAACUUGAGUCAACAAUAAGCAUCCCAACUUAAAAACAGGCAAAAGGCACGAACAGACACAUCACAAAAGACGACACGGAAAAGCAAUAAGCAGAUGAAAUCAUAGACAUACAUUAUUCAGUGGGCAAAUACAAAUUAAAAUCAUAAGGAGGCUAGAGUGGAUUAAAUUUUAAGAGACUGACAAUGCCAAGUGUUAGCAAAGAUAUGGAGCAACUGGAAUCUUCCCAUAAUGUAGUAAUAGUGUAAAAUGAUUCAACCACUACAGAGGGCUGUGUGACAAUUUCUUAGGAAGUUAGAAACACGUAUUGCAAUGGACUGAAUGUUUACAUCCUUGCACAAUUCAUGUCAAAUUCCUAACCCAUAAGAUGAUAUGAGGUGGGGUCUUGGGGAGGGGACAGAAUCACAAGGGGAGAGCCCUCAUGAAUGGGGUAAGCUUGCUAGUCCCUUUCCACCACGUGCAGUCACAGUAAAAAGACAUCUACUUAAAAGGAAGCAGGCCCUCACUAGACACCAAAUGUUGACACCCUCAUCUUGGACUUCCCAGCCUCCAGAACUGUAAAACAUAAAUUUCUGUUGUUUAUAAGCCUCCCAGUUGAUGGUAUUUUGUUAUGGCAGCCUGAAUGAACUAAGACACUUACAACACAGCAAUUAAAGUCCUAGGUACUUACCCAAGAGAAAUAAAAACACAUGUGCAAAUACAUACUUUUACACAAAUGCUCAUAGUUUUAAGAGCCGAGACUGGAAACCCAUUAACACAUGGAUGAAUAAACAAAUGAUGGCUUAUCCACACAAUGGAAUACUAUUCAGCAAGGAGAACUACUGAAACACAAAACAGCUUGGAUGAGUCUAAAAACAUGCCAAAGUGAGACAUCAGACGCAAAAGAACACAUAGUAAAUGAAUCCAUUUGUAUGAGGCUCUAAACCAAGCAACACUAAUCUAUGAGGAUAGAAAGUGGUUAUCUGGGGCUGGAGUGGGCUUAACUAGGAAAAGGCAAAAGGGAACUUCUUUGGGUGACAGAAACGUUUUUGGUUCUGGCGGUGGUGGUUACACAGGUGGUGGUGGUUACACAGGUGUAUAGAUUUUUCAAAACCUUGUACACUUAAAUAGGCGUUUUACUAUAUGAAAAUUGAAUCUCAAUAAAGUUGAUUAAAAUGGUCUGGUAAAAUCUACAUUUGAAACAUCUCUAGUAAUGCUGAUUUUCCAGAAAAUGUAGAUCUCUUUUUUGAAUUAUUUGUCCUGAGACGUUCAGGGUUGGUAGUAUUUAAGAACUCAAAAUAUGGCCUCAUGAGAAAAAAAUUAUAUCGUUACAAAACUGGACUUUGGGGUUCAUGUCCAGAUGAAAUUCAGAGGUAAAGACUAACAGUUUGGCGAGGCGGCUGUCCACUGUCCAUUUACCUCGCCUGCUUUCGAACAGUCCUAGCCAAAAAGCCAUCUGUCAUGGCUCCAUGUUUCUGCAGAUUCCUCUCCUGGACCCUAUUUUCUUCUUCAGCUGCUCUCUACUGAUCUCUGGCCCAGCUGAAAUGUCACCUCUUCUGUAAGGCCUUCCCAGCUCUGUGCCACAGCAGGCACCCCCUCACCUGUGCUCCUUCACACCUGAGGGCACAUACUUAACUCACCCUACUGUGAUCUCCGUCUUCCCCACUACACGGUGGAUGACUUCAGGGUAGUGGGUUGCUCAUCUGUUUUCCCAACAUUGAGGACUAUUCCUUAUAGAUAUCAAUACAUUUUGAAAUGACACAAUGAGCCAGAGAGCAUGGAAAAUGACAAGAGCUCAGUUCAACCUCAGAACUGCUACAACAGAAGAGUUACGUAGCGCAUUGAGACUGUGCCUUUCGAGUGAGACAGAAAGAUACAGACAAGUAAGUAAAGACCUUCUCUUGAGACCUGCCUCCUCCUGUCCCCACUGUUCCAGCUGAGCCAGGUGUCAAUGCCCUCCAGAUCAAGUAGACAGUUCUGCAUGAGCUGUAAGGUGGCACACAGGAGGGCGUGGAUGUGCACAGGAUAUUGCCUGCAACUUCUAAGUAGGAGCAGCAGACAGUAGCAGGGCUGAGAAGAUACUUCUAACAGAAUCGUAGAUUAUACUGAUACAAAAUGAACAAACAACAAAAAAAACAGCCAACAGCUGAAAAUUUUUAGAAUGGCAGUAUAGAAAGGACAAAGCAAGAGAGAUGCCAAUUACACAUAGAUUUAGGGGUGUAUUUUUUAUUGCCCUGUGCUAGACAGUGGACACAUGGAAAUCAAUCAGAUAUGAUCACUGUCCUCAGGAACCCAACAGCAUAGUGACAGAGAUAGUCUAUCACAUCAUUCUGACAUAUGCAAGUAAAUAUAGUAAUAGCAGUAAUCACUGAGCCACAGAAGUGUGGAGAGUGCUGCCAACUAAGCUUGAGGGAAACACCCAUUGACAUGAUGCCUGAGGCUUGUCUUGAACCAUGAUUCAGAGUUAAUUAGCUGAGAAGAGACCCUUCAACAAGAACAAAGGCGAGAGAGGUAGGAAGCCACGUGGAGCACAGGGAAGAUGAAGCAGUCGGUGUUGCUGCAGCAUUAACCGUGUGGCAGGAAGUCAGGCAGUGGGAGGCAGGGCUCCAGGACGCAGGAGGCCUUAGGGCACACGAUGGGAGGCCUGGAGUUCCUCCUCAGGACAACAGGGAAAUGGCUCGGGGUUCAUACACGAGUUACCUUUCUUCAACUUAACACAUCAAAAUGUCCUAGGUAACAUUCUCCUAAAUCGUAAGAUUAGAUACACAGUUGUGCUGUAAUAAGGGAUUUAAGUCAAGGAUGGACUCUGCUUAACUGGGGAUGAAACUUCUUAAAAACCUUUUCUUGAGACCUGUCUUCUCCCUGCCCCUACUGUUCCAGCUCAGAGUCAGGUGUCAAGCCCUGUGACUCUCCUGAGGACAGUGCUCACAGCUGAGGAGAAGGGCUGAGCCGAGUAGGGCUGCACAGUGGCAGGUGGCACCCACUGCAAAAGCAGCCCCAUCCAUGACUCACAAAAUUCUGACAUGUCCAAAUCUUAGAAACCACAUGAAUCCUAAUUCCACGCAUUUCCAAACAUCACUCACUGGGCGGGAAAGUAAUUAUUUUAUAAGUUACCUGUGUGUUCCCCCUUAUCUACAGACCUCUCACCCAAAUGUAUGGGGGCCUUACUCAAGGAGAGUCCCUCUUGGUGAACCCUUUGAUUAUUUUUAACGUUUGUAGUUGAGUUAAAAUCUCUCCCAUACUGACUACAUUCAUAGAGCUUCUCUUCAGUAUGAAUUUUCUGGUGUUGAAGGAAGUUUGACCUCUGAAUAAAGCCUUUCCCACAAUAACUGCACACAUAGGGCUUUUCUCCAGUGUGAAUAAUCUGGUGCAGAAGCAGCUUGGAGCUCUGGAUGAAGGCUUUCCCACAGUCUUUACAUUCGAAGGGCCUGUCCCCAGAGUGGAUCUUCUGGUGCUCAGUGAGAUGGGCUUUCUGGAGAAACGCUUUCCCACAUUCCUUACAUUCAUACACUCUCUCUCCAGUGUGGAUUUUCUGGUGUCGAAUAAGGUAUGAACUCAGAAAGAAAGCUUUCCCACACUCGUUACAUUCAUAGAGUUUCUCUCCAGUGUGAAUUCUCUGAUGCUGGGUGAAGUUUGACGUCUGGCUGAAGCGCUUCCCACACUCAUUGCAUACGUAAGGCCUCUCCCCAGUAUGGAUCCUCUGAUGCUGAAUGAGCUUUGAACUCCGAAUAAAGGCUUUCCCACACUCAUUGCAUUCAAAGGGUCUCUCUCCGGUGUGAAUUCUCUGGUGUUCAAUAAGGUCUGAGCGAUGACGGAAUGCCUUCCCACAUUCUUUGCAUUCAUACUGUUUCACUUCUGUGUGGAUCUGAUAAUGGCGAAUGAGGCUCGAGCUCCUUAUGAAGGAUUUCCCACAUUCAUUGCACUCAUAGGGCCUUUCUCCCGUGUGAAUCCUCUGAUGGCGAAUAAGUAAGGAGCUCUGACUGAAGCCUUUCCCACACUCUUUGCAUUCAAAAGGUCUCUCUCUGGUGUGAACUCUCUGGUGCCUAAUCAGGUCUGAACUGUGACAAAACGCCUUCCCACACUGCGCACAUUUGAAGGGCUUUUCUCCUGAAUGAACGCGCUGAUGCUCAAUGAGACCUGAAUAGUGAAUGAAGUCUUUCCCACACACAUUACAGACGUAGAGUCUCUCUCCAGUGUGAAUUCUCUGAUGCUCCAUAAGGUGUGAGCUCUGGCCAAAGCCUUUCCCACACUGAUCGCACGUGUAAGGUUUCUCCCCAGCAUGCGAAAUCCGAUGCCUAACUAGGUCCGAAUUAAACGUGAAGGUUUUGCCACAGAUAUCGCAAGGAUUGGCUUCCCCCUCUAUGAGCUCUCUCUGAAGCAGAAGAAGGUCUGAGUUCAGAAUAUGGUUUCUUCCUGACUUGGUGCACACUUGAGCUGUCUCUCCUGUCUGGAUCUUCCAAUGGGUCACUGUCACCUGCUUGCAGCCCCUGUCCUGAGAGGGGGAACUCCCCAGGCUCUGACCUUCUGGAUUUCCCAAGAGCUCCCCUAAUCUGGGCUCGUGGACUUCCUCAGACUCGGGAGAGGGGAGCUCCAUCACCGUGAGUCUGUCUGACGUCGUCCUAUGUGAGUUUUCAUCCUCAGAAAUCCAGGCUUCAGUCACCUUCUUCUCACCAGUUCCUACAUUAGAAUCUGAAACAAAAGACAACAAAAUCAUCUUUCCCCUUACUUAACAGAUGGGGAUCUCCUGAAUCAGGGCAGGAUAAAAUCCAUAUCCAAGAGGUGGAAAGUGUUUCCUCUGCCCCUCAUCCUGACCCAACAUGCUGCUACCCACAGCUCUGGUCUCACACCCAAGCCUGUCCCACAUAAGAUGGCUUCUUUGUGGCUCCACUUUUAACAUCCAACACCAGGACAGACUGGUCUGUGGUGC
RNAcentral lists this long non-coding RNA (5871 nucleotides) under Homo sapiens (human). RNAcentral's name for it is "non-protein coding lnc-TSTA3-2:1". Lineage: Eukaryota; Metazoa; Chordata; Mammalia; Primates; Hominidae. The record is from RNAcentral.